This 253-nucleotide ribosomal RNA is filed under the name uncultured prokaryote. RNAcentral describes it as "partial 16S ribosomal RNA". It matches the Rfam family "Bacterial small subunit ribosomal RNA", at positions 524 to 776 of the family's 1533-position model. The record is from RNAcentral.
GACGAACCGUGCGAACGUUGUUCGGAUUCACUGGGCUUAAAGGGCGCGUAGGCGGAUUAUCAAGUCGGGGGUGAAAUCUUUCCGCUCAACGGGAAAAGUGCCUUCGAUACUGAUGAUCUCGAGGGAGGUAGGGGCAUGCGGAACUUCCGGUGGAGCGGUGAAAUGCGUAGAUAUCGGAAGGAACGCCGGUGGCGAAAGCGGCGUGCUGGACCUCUUCUGACGCUGAGGCGCGAAAGCUAGGGGAGCAAACGGG